ACUAUACUGAAAGAUAAUCGUAUUUAGAUGGAAUUUAGGUGCGGGAUAAACCCCGCCUUGAAAACUAGACAAAUAAGAUAAAAGCAGAAGGUAUAAAAAUGUUUCAUGUUUAUGUGCUACAAAGCAAAAGUGAUGAAAACAGAUUUUAUCUUGGAAGUAGCAAAGAUUUAAAGCAACACUUAAAAUCACACAACCAAGGUAAAAAUAAAGCAACGAAAGGCACACGGUGGAAACUGGUGUACUACGAAGCAUAAAUCACAUUAACUGCUGCAAGACAGCGAGAACAUAAACUCAAACAAGAUGGACGAUCAAGACGAUAUUUAAUGCAACGCAUUAAAGACAGUCUAACGAUUGAAAAUUAAUCAAUCAAGAAAGAAACAAGGAAAGGAAACCAAAGAAAAAAGGAAAAGCGGGCUUUGUCCUGCACCUAAAUUCCCUCAAAAGCGAAGGAAAGGCGGGUAAAAGGAAAAACUUUCAAAAGUAUUGAAGAAACACAAGUAAAGAGCAAUUUAGGUGCGGGAUGACUGCGUACCUUUUGUAUAAUGGGUCAGCGACUUACAUUUUGUGGCAAGCUUAACCGAAUAGGGGAGGCGUAGCGAAAGCGAGUCUUAAUAGGGCGUUCAGUCGCAAGGUGUAGACCCGAAACCGGGCGAUCUAUCCAUGGCCAGGUUGAAGGUAGGGUAAUACCUACUGGAGGACCGAACCCACUUAUGUUGAAAAAUGAGGGGAUGAGCUGUGGAUUGGAGUGAAAGGCUAAUCAAGCCCGGAGAUAGCUGGUUCUCCUCGAAAGCUAUUUAGGUAGCGCCUUGUGUAUAACUGUUGGGGGUAGAGCACUGUUUCGGCCAGGGGGUCAUCCCGACUUACCAACCCGAUGCAAACUCCGAAUACCAACAAGUUUUAGCACGGGAGACACACGGCGGGUGAUAAGGUCCGUUGUGGAAAGGGAAACAGCCCAGACCGUCAGCUAAGGUCCCCAAACACUGCUCAGUGGAAAACGAUGUGAAAAGGCUCAGACAGCCAGGAGGUUGGCUUAGAAGCAGCCAUCCUUUAAAGAAAGCGUAAUAGCUCACUGGUCGAGUCGGUUUGCGCGGAAGAUUUACCGGGGCUAAGUAGUGUACCGAAGCUACGGACUUAGAGGAUAGACUAUAGAAGAUAGAAAGUAGAAUAGAAUAGAAGAGACGAUAGCAAUCAGCGAUGAGGUGUUAUUAAUACAUUCUAACUGCUACUUUAUACUGUCUUUUAUAUUCUAUCCUCUGAGUGGUAGAGGAGCGUUCUGUACGCCUGCGAAGGUUGACUGAGAAGUCGGCUGGAGGUAUCAGAAGUGCGAAUGCUGACAUGAGUAACGAUAAAGGGGGUGAAAAACCCCCUCGCCGAAAACCCAAGGUUUCCUGCGCAACGCUAAUCGACGCAGGGUUAGUCGGUACCUAAGGCGAGGCCGAAAGGCGUAGUCGAUGGAAAACAGGUUAAUAUUCCUGUACUUAAUAUAACUGCGAUGGGGUGACGGAGAAGGUUAGAUCAGCAAGCUGUUGGACAUGCUUGUUUAAGCUUGUAGGGAGAGUGUUUAGGUAAAUCCGGACACUUGUUAAUCCUGAGGAGUGAUAACGAAACUCCCUUUUAAGGGAAAGAAGUGAUUAAUACCCUGCUUCCAAGAAAAACCUCUAAGCAUCAGGUUAUAUUGAGCCGUACCCCAAACCAACACAGGUGGGUGGGAUGAGAAUUCUAAGGCGCUUGAGAGAACUCGGCUGAAGGAACUAGGCAAAAUGGUACCGUAACUUCGGGAGAAGGUACGCCCUUGGUAGGUAAAGCGACUUGCUCGUGGAGCCGAAGAGGGUAGCAUUAAACUGGUGGCUGCGACUGUUUAGCAAAAACAUAGCACUGUGCAAACACGAAAGUGGACGUAUACGGUGUGACGCCUGCCCGGUGCCGGAAGGUUAAUUGAUGGGGUUAUUCCACCUCCAGAUUAUUUUCAUAUUGAAGGAGUUUUAUUUUUUGACGAAAGAAUUUACAUAAAGUAAAUGACAGAGGAAGAAAAUGAAAACAACCAAGAGAUAGAGAAUAAUGUGGUGGUGGAAGAAGCUCUUGAUCGAAGCCCCGGUAAACGGCGGCCGUAACUAUAACGGUCCUAAGGUAGCGAAAUUCCUUGUCGGGUAAGUUCCGACCUGCACGAAUGGCGUAACGACGGCCACACUGUCUCCAGCCGAGACUCAGUGAAAUUGAAAUUGCGGUGAAGAUGCCGUAUACCCGCGGCUAGACGGAAAGACCCCGUGCACCUUUACUAUAGCUUUACACUGGACUUUGAACCUAUCUGUGUAGGAUAGGUGGGAGACUUAGAAGUGGCAUCGCCAGAUGUUGUGGAGUCACCCUUGAAAUACCACCCUGGUAUGUUUAAAGUUCUAACCUAGGCCCGUAAUCCGGGUUGGGGACAGUGUAUGGUGGGUAGUUUGACUGGGGCGGUCUCCUCCCAAAGAGUAACGGAGGAGCACGAAGGUACCCUAAUCCUGGUCGGAAAUCAGGAGAUUAGUGCAAUGGCAUAAGGGUGCUUGACUGCGAGACGGACAAGUCGAGCAGGUACGAAAGUAGGUCAUAGUGAUCCGGUGGUUCUGAAUGGAAGGGCCAUCGCUCAACGGAUAAAAGGUACGCCGGGGAUAACAGGCUGAUACCGCCCAAGAGUUCAUAUCGACGGCGGUGUUUGGCACCUCGAUGUCGGCUCAUCACAUCCUGGGGCUGAAGCAGGUCCCAAGGGUAUGGCUGUUCGCCAUUUAAAGUGGUACGCGAGCUGGGUUCAGAACGUCGUGAGACAGUUCGGUCCCUAUCUGCCGUGGGCGUUUGAGAUUUGAGGGAAGCUGCUUCUAGUACGAGAGGACCGGAGUGGACGUUCCGCUGGUGUUCGGGUUGUCAUGCCAAUGGCAUUGCCCGGUAGCUACGAACGGACAGGAUAAGCGCUGAAAGCAUCUAAGCGCGAAGCCCCUCCCAAGAUGAGAUCUCACUGGAUAUUUAAUAUCCCUGAAGGGCCCUUGGAGACUACAAGGUUGAUAGGUCAGGUGUGGAAGCACAGUAAUGUGUGUAGCUAACUGAUACUAAUUGCCCGUGAGGCUUGACCAU
This 3102-nucleotide ribosomal RNA is filed under the name Methylococcales symbiont of Iophon sp. n. MRB-2018. Its description in RNAcentral is "bacterial LSU rRNA". The stretch from base 404 to 3102 matches the Rfam family "Bacterial large subunit ribosomal RNA". Lineage: Bacteria; Pseudomonadati; Pseudomonadota; Gammaproteobacteria; Methylococcales. The record is from RNAcentral.